RNAcentral lists this ribosomal RNA (434 nucleotides) under uncultured bacterium. RNAcentral describes it as "partial 16S ribosomal RNA". It matches the Rfam family "Bacterial small subunit ribosomal RNA", at positions 29 to 507 of the family's 1533-position model. The record is from RNAcentral.
AGCGAACGCUGGCGGCAGGCCUAACACAUGCAAGUCGAACGAACCUUUCGGGGUUAGUGGCGGACGGGUGUGUAACACGUGGGAACGUGCCUUUAGGUUCGGAAUAACUCAGGGAAACUUGUGCUAAUACCGAAUGUGCCCUUCGGGGGAAAGAUUCAUCGCCUUUAGAGCGGCCCGCGUCUGUUUAGCUAGUUGGUUGAGGUAAUGGCUCACCAAGGCGACGAACAGUAGCUGGUCUGAGAGGAUGAUCAGCCACAUUGGGACUGAGACACGGCCCAAACUCCUACGGGAGGCAGCAGUGGGUAAUCUUGCGAAAUGGGCGAAAGGCUGACGCAGCCAUGCCGCGUGAAUGAUGAAGGUCUUAGGAUAGUAAAAUCCUUUCACCGGGGACGAUAAUGACGGUACCCGGAGAAGAAGCCCCGGCUAACUUCGUG